UAGGGCGGGAAAAGUUAGGCGGCAGGGGGAAAAACCAUACGGUUUUUCCCCCUGCCGCCUAACUUUUCCCGCCCUAAUUUUCCCCGC
This 87-nucleotide microRNA precursor is filed under the name Paramuricea clavata. The record is from RNAcentral. Lineage: Eukaryota; Metazoa; Cnidaria; Anthozoa; Malacalcyonacea; Plexauridae.